RNAcentral lists this ribosomal RNA (877 nucleotides) under uncultured bacterium. RNAcentral's name for it is "bacterial SSU rRNA". It matches the Rfam family "Bacterial small subunit ribosomal RNA", at positions 94 to 972 of the family's 1533-position model. The record is from RNAcentral.
AGUGGCGCACGGGUGAGUAAAGCGUAUGCAACCUGCCUUUAACAGGGGGAUAGCCCGGAGAAAUCCGGAUUAAUACCCCAUCGUAUUUAGAUUCCGCAUGGGAUUUAAAUUAAAGCUCCGGCGGUUAAAGAUGGGCAUGCGUGACAUUAGUUAGUUGGUGAGGUAACGGCUCACCAAGACUACGAUGUCUAGGGGUUCUGAGAGGAUGAUCCCCCACACUGGUACUGAGACACGGACCAGACUCCUACGGGAGGCAGCAGUGAGGAAUAUUGGUCAAUGGGCGCAAGCCUGAACCAGCCAUCCCGCGUGAAGGAAGACGGCCCUAUGGGUUGUAAACUUCUUUUGUACACCAAGAAAUGUCCGUACGUGUAUGGAUUUGACGGUAGUGUAUGAAUAAGCAUCGGCUAACUCCGUGCCAGCAGCCGCGGUAAUACGGAGGAUGCAAGCGUUAUCCGGAUUCAUUGGGUUUAAAGGGUACGUAGGUGGCUGAUUAAGUCAGUGGUGAAAACCUGCCGCUUAACGGUAGGCGUGCCAUUGAUACUGAUUAGCUUGAGUACAGUUGAGGUAGGCGGAAUGUGUAGUGUAGCGGUGAAAUGCUUAGAUAUUACACAGAACUCCGAUUGCGAAGGCAGCUUACUAAACUGACACUGACACUGAGGUACGAAAGCGUGGGUAGCGAACAGGAUUAGAUACCCUGGUAGUCCACGCCGUAAACGAUGCUCACUCGCUGUUUGCGAUACACAGCAAGCGGCUUAGCGAAAGCGAUAAGUGAGCCACCUGGGGAGUACGCCGGCAACGGUGAAACUCAAAGGAAUUGACGGGGGCCCGCACAAGCGGAGGAACAUGUGGUUUAAUUCGAUGAUACGCGAGGAACCUU